GUACACUCCUACGGGGGCAGCAGUGGGGAAUAUUGGACAAUGGGCGCAAGCCUGAUCCAGCCAUGCCGCGUGAGUGAUGAAGGCCCUAGGGUUGUAAAGCUCUUUCACCGGUGAAGAUAAUGACGGUAACCGGAGAAGAAGCCCCGGCUAACUUCGUGCCAGCAGCCGCGGUAAUACGAAGGGGGCUAGCGUUGUUCGGAUUUACUGGGCGUAAAGCGCACGUAGGCGGACUAUUAAGUCAGGGGUGAAAUCCCGGGGCUCAACCCCGGAACUGCCUUUGAUACUGGUAGUCUUGAGUUCGAGAGAGGUGAGUGGAAUUCCGAGUGUAGAGGUGAAAUUCGUAGAUAUUCGGAGGAACACCAGUGGCGAAGGCGGCUCACUGGCUCGAUACUGACGCUGAGGUGCGAAAGCGUGGGGAGCAAACAGGAUUAGAUACCCCAGUAGUCCCA
This 449-nucleotide ribosomal RNA is filed under the name uncultured organism. Its description in RNAcentral is "partial 16S ribosomal RNA". It matches the Rfam family "Bacterial small subunit ribosomal RNA", at positions 331 to 797 of the family's 1533-position model. The record is from RNAcentral.